RNAcentral lists this ribosomal RNA (447 nucleotides) under uncultured bacterium. RNAcentral's name for it is "bacterial SSU rRNA". It matches the Rfam family "Bacterial small subunit ribosomal RNA", at positions 329 to 793 of the family's 1533-position model. The record is from RNAcentral.
CGCCAGACUCCUACGGGAGGCAGCAGUGGGGAAUAUUGCACAAUGGGGGAAACCCUGAUGCAGCGACGCCGCGUGAGUGAAGAAGUAUUUCGGUAUGUAAAGCUCUAUCAGCAGGGAAGAAAAUGACGGUACCUGACUAAGAAGCCCCGGCUAACUACGUGCCAGCAGCCGCGGUAAUACGUAGGGGGCAAGCGUUAUCCGGAUUUACUGGGUGUAAAGGGAGCGUAGACGGCAUGGCAAGUCAGAUGUGAAAGCCCGGGGCUCAACCCCGGGACUGCAUUUGAAACUGUCAGGCUGGAGUGCAGGAGAGGUAAGUGGAAUUCCUAGUGUAGCGGUGAAAUGCGUAGAUAUUAGGAGGAACACCAGUGGCGAAGGCGGCUUACUGGACUGUAACUGACGUUGAGGCUCGAAAGCGUGGGGAGCAAACAGGAUUAGAUACCCCCGUAC